GGAUUAGAUACCCUGGUAGUCCACGCCGUAAACGAUGUCUACUAGCCGUUGGGGUCCUUGAGGCCUUAGUGGCGCAGCUAACGCAUUAAGUAGACCGCCUGGGGAGUACGGUCGCUAGAUUAAAACUCAAAUGAAUUGACGGGGGCCCGCACAAGCGGUGGAGCAUGUGGUUUAAUUCGAAGCAACGCGAAGAACCUUACCAAGACUUGACAUCCCGGUCGCGGUCCUUGGAGACGAGGACUUUCAGUUCGGCUGGACCGGAGACAGGUGCUGCAUGGCCGUCGUCAGCUCGUGUCG
RNAcentral lists this ribosomal RNA (297 nucleotides) under uncultured bacterium. RNAcentral describes it as "partial 16S ribosomal RNA". It matches the Rfam family "Bacterial small subunit ribosomal RNA", at positions 775 to 1067 of the family's 1533-position model. The record is from RNAcentral.